Molecule: ribosomal RNA, 1343 nt
Filed under: uncultured bacterium
Lineage: Bacteria
Description: 16S ribosomal RNA
Rfam family: Bacterial small subunit ribosomal RNA
Source: RNAcentral
GACGAACACUGGCGGCGUGCUUAACACAUGCAAGUCGAACGGAAAGGCCCUGCUUUUGUGGGGUGCUCGAGUGGCGAACGGGUGAGUAACACGUGAGUAACCUGCCCUUGACUUUGGGAUGACUUCAGGAAACUGGGGCUAAUACCGGAUAGGAGCUCCUGCUGCAUGGUGGGGGUUGGAAAGUUUCGGCGGUUGGGGAUGGACUCGCGGCUUAUCAGCUUGUUGGUGGGGUAGUGGCUUACCAAGGCUUUGACGGGUAGCCGGCCUGAGAGAGUGACCGGCCACAUUGGGACUGAGAUACGGCCCAGACUCCUACGGGAGGCAGCAGUGGGGAAUAUUGCACAAUGGGCGGAAGCCUGAUGCAGCAACGCCGCGUGCGGGAUGACGGCCUUCGGGUUGUAAACCGCUUUCGCCUGUGACGAAGCGUGAGUGACGGUAAUGGGUAAAGAAGCACCGGCUAACUACGUGCCAGCAGCCGCGGUGAUACGUAGGGUGCGAGCGUUGUCCGGAUUUAUUGGGCGUAAAGGGCUCGUAGGUGGUUGAUCGCGUCGGAAGUGUAAUCUUGGGGCUUAACCCUGAGCGUGCUUUCGAUACGGGUUGACUUGAGGAAGGUAGGGGAGAAUGGAAUUCCUGGUGGAGCGGUGGAAUGCGCAGAUAUCAGGAGGAACACCAGUGGCGAAGGCGGUUCUCUGGGCCUUUCCUGACGCUGAGGAGCGAAAGCGUGGGGAGCGAACAGGCUUAGAUACCCUGGUAGUCCACGCUGUAAACGGUGGGUACUAGGUGUGGGGUCCAUUCCACGGGUUCCGUGCCGUAGCUAGCGCUUUAAGUACCCCGCCUGGGGAGUACGGCCGCAAGGCUAAAACUCAAAGGAAUUGACGGGGCCCCGCACAAGCGGCGGAGCAUGCGGAUUAAUUCGAUGCAACGCGUAGAACCUUACCUGGGUUUGACAUGGAUCGGGAGCGCUCAGAGAUGGGUGUGCCUCUUUUGGGGUCGGUUCACAGGUGGUGCAUGGCUGUCGUCAGCUCGUGUCGUGAGAUGUUGGGUUAAGUCCCGCAACGAGCGCAACCCUUGUUCACUGUUGCCAGCACGUUAUGGUGGGGACUCAGUGGAGACCGCCAGGGUCAACUCGGAGGAAGGUGGGGAUGACGUCAAGUCAUCAUGCCCCUUAUGUCCAGGGCUUCACGCAUGCUACAAUGGCUGGUACAGAGAGUGGCGAGCCUGUGAGGGUGAGCGAAUCUCGGAAAGCCGGUCUCAGUUCGGAUUGGGGUCUGCAACUCGACCUCAUGAAGUCGGAGUCGCUAGUAAUCGCAGAUCAGCAACGCUGCGGUGAAUACGUUCCCGGG